RNAcentral lists this ribosomal RNA (1809 nucleotides) under Triticum aestivum (bread wheat). RNAcentral's name for it is "partial small subunit ribosomal RNA". Lineage: Eukaryota; Viridiplantae; Streptophyta; Magnoliopsida; Poales; Poaceae. The record is from RNAcentral.
AUGAUUCCCAAUCAGCCUAUGGCGCAAAUGAGCCCAGACGCGGUUCCCUCCCGCCACCCUCUCGCCGCCGACCCGCUGCCGGCGCUCCGCCGGCUCCGGGCCGCCGCGCCGCGCGUCUUCGGGCAGCUCCACGCGCUGCUCCUCACCUCCGGCCUCGCGCUCCACUCCCCCAACUUCACCCUCCUCCUCCGCCUCGCCUCCUCCUCCGUCCCCUCCCUCUCCCACCGCCUCCAGCUCCUCCUAUGCUCCCCACUGCCGCCCACCGCUUUUCUCGCCAACUCCCUCCUCCUCGCGCACCUCCCUUCCGCGCCCCCCCUCUACUCCCUCCUCUUCCUCGCCUCUCCCCCGCUCCUCCGCCCCAACGAGUUCACCUAUCCGGCCCUCCUCCGCGCCUCCCCACCCCGCACCGCGCUCGCGCUCGCCACCCAUUCGCUUAAAUUCCUCGGCGCCGGGGCCGCCUCCAGCGACCGCGUCCUCGGGUCCGCGCUGCUCGACGCCUUCGCCCGCUGUGGCAGGAUCGCGUCCUGCCGCCGGGUGUUCGACAGGAUCGCCGAGCCGGACCUGCCGGCCUGGAAUGCGCUGCUCACCGCCUACGCGCGCCGGGCCAGGGAUUCGUCGUGCGCCGGCGAGGCGGCGGAGAUUCUUGAGCUGUUUGCGCGCAUGGUCUCAUCGACGGUCCCGCCAAACGAGAUCACGCUCGUCGCCGUCGUCGGCGCAUGCGGGGAGCUCGGCGCUCUCGGGCACGGCCUGUGGGCGCACGCGUAUGCUCUCAAGCGCAGGCUGACCGUGAACUGUUACGUGGCCACCGCGCUCGUGGAGAUGUACACCAGGUGCGGCAAAAUGGACCUGGCCGAGCAGGUGUUCGCUGGCGUUACGGACAUGGACACAUGCUGCUACAAUGCCAUGCUCCAGGGCUUGGCAUUCCAUGGGCAUGGCCGAGUUGCCCUCACCUUGUUUGACAGGAUGUGUGCCGAGGGCUUCCCGGUUGAUAGCGUCACGGUGCUGGCGGUGAUGUGCGCGUGCGCCCACGCUGGGUUGGUGGAUGAAGGGCAGUGGCUCUUCGACAGAAUGGAGAUUCAGUUUGGGGUCACACCGAGGAUUGAGCAUUAUGGAUGCAUGGUUGACAUACUGGGCCGAGCUGGUCAUCUUGAUGUUGCCGAGAAGCUUAUCCGAGGGAUGGACAUUACGCCGAACGCCGCAAUGUACAGGUCUUUGAUACGGGCAUGUGGGAUUCAUGGCAAGCUAGAAAUUGGGGAGAGGAUGAUCCAAGAGCUGAUGAGGCUCGAGCCAGAGCACAGUGGAAAUUAUGUCCUGCUGUCCAACUUCUACGCGAGAAUGAAACUAUGGGAGGACGCAAAGAAGGCGAGGAAGGAGAUGAAGGCCAUGGGCAUUGACAAGAGCCCCGGGUCAAGCCUCCUUGACAUCAAUGGUGUUCUCCAUGAAUUCUUGAUGGGUGACAAGACACACCCUGCCUCAAGGGAGAUAUACGCCAUGAUUCAAGAGAUCCAAGCCAGAUUGAAGGAAUGCGGGCACCGGCCGAGCACCACGGCUGUGAUGUUCAACGUCGAGGAGGAGGACAAAGUAGGUGCGCUGUCCUACCACAGCGAGAGGCUCGCCAUUGCCUUCGCCCUGAUCGCCUCCUCUCCGGGUGCGCCCAUCAGGAUCAUCAAGAACCUCCGGGUGUGCAGUGAUUGUCACGAGAGCACGAAGCUCGUCUCCCGGGUGUAUGGAAGGGAGAUCAUCAUGAGGGACCGCACCCGGUUCCAUCACUUCAGAGAUGGCCAUUGCUCAUGUGGAGAUUUCUGGUGA